CUGAUUUCAAAAUUAUCCAAGGUGUUGAAUUGGCCUAAAUUGUUAAAAUGUUUCUUUAAGUUGCGACGGAGAGAUACAGUUCUAGAAUACCUGAGUGCUCAUACCACAUAGUUCUACUUAGAUGGAAGCUCUUCUGCAAUGCUACCUCUUGAAGGGAAUGGCACAGCUGGGUGAUUUUGACUCAUGAGGGUUAAGAUGUUGGCUGGGCUGAAGGCCAUUUUGGAUCUGGAAACAUCUACUUCCAAAGGAAUGGCAAGUUAGCACUGGCUGUUGGUUGCAGACCUCAAUCCUUGCCAUGAAGACUUCUGCAUCAGGCUGACAGAGUGUUCCCACAACAGAGCAGUUUGCUGUUUGCAGAGCAGAUGAUCCAAGAGAGAACACAGUAGAACUCACAAUGUUUUUGACCUAACUUUGGAAGUCACACACUGUCAGUUUCACAAUAUUCUCUGGUCUGCAGAUAGGUGUGAAUACCAGGAGAUGGAGAUCAUUAGGGACCAUUGUGGAGACUGGCUACCACAGCAUUCAUUUUCAAAAGUCGUGGAGAAAAAAGAGAUUGGAACUAUAUUCAAAGUAACCAAGACUGUGGACACCAUUAUCAAGAGCACAGAAAUCUUAGCUUCAAGAAACUCAACAAGCAGUGUUACAAAAUUGAAAUAUUUCUAUUUAUCAACCUCUUGGAAUCUACUGGGUUAGAUGUCCUCAGGGGUUAGCUCUUCUUUACUCUAACCUUUUAUAUAAUAUUUCUCUUUCUAGGCAUGACUUUUUAAAAAAU
Long non-coding RNA from Myotis brandtii (Brandt's bat), 772 nucleotides. RefSeq lists it as uncharacterized. The transcript is spliced from 4 exons. The record is from RefSeq and is a predicted model, not a curated record. Lineage: Eukaryota; Metazoa; Chordata; Mammalia; Chiroptera; Vespertilionidae.